GACGAACGCUGGCGGCGUGCCUAAUACAUGCAAGUAGAACGCUGAAGGAGGAGCUUGCUUCUCUGGAUGAGUUGCGAACGGGUGAGUAACGCGUAGGUAACCUGCCUGGUAGCGGGGGAUAACUAUUGGAAACGAUAGCUAAUACCGCAUAAUAGUAGAUGUUGCAUGACAUUUGCUUAAAAGGUGCAAUUGCAUCACUACCAGAUGGACCUGCGUUGUAUUAGCUAGUUGGUGGGGUAACGGCUCACCAAGGCGACGAUACAUAGCCGACCUGAGAGGGUGAUCGGCCACACUGGGACUGAGACACGGCCCAGACUCCUACGGGAGGCAGCAGUAGGGAAUCUUCGGCAAUGGACGGAAGUCUGACCGAGCAACGCCGCGUGAGUGAAGAAGGUUUUCGGAUCGUAAAGCUCUGUUGUAAGAGAAGAACGAGUGUGAGAGUGGAAAGUUCACACUGGGACGGUAUCUUACCAGAAAGGGACGGCUAACUACGU
This 494-nucleotide ribosomal RNA is filed under the name uncultured bacterium. RNAcentral's name for it is "partial 16S ribosomal RNA". It matches the Rfam family "Bacterial small subunit ribosomal RNA", at positions 28 to 506 of the family's 1533-position model. The record is from RNAcentral.